RNAcentral lists this unclassified non-coding RNA (247 nucleotides) under Phacidiales sp. RNAcentral describes it as "partial contains 5.8S ribosomal RNA, internal transcribed spacer 2, and large subunit ribosomal RNA". The stretch from base 1 to 52 matches the Rfam family "5.8S ribosomal RNA", at positions 103 to 154 of the family's 154-position model. The record is from RNAcentral. RNAcentral also lists the same sequence under 2 other names. Lineage: Eukaryota; Fungi; Ascomycota; Leotiomycetes; Phacidiales.
AACGCACAUUGCGCCCCUCGGUAUUCCGGGGGGCAUGCCUGUUCGAGCGUCAUUACACCCCUCAAGCGUAGCUUGGUAUUGGGUCCUCGCCCCCCGGGGCGUGCCCGAAAAGCAGUGGCGGCUCGGUGUGACUUUAAGCGUAGUAAAUUUUCAUCCCGCUUUGAAAGUUCGCCCCGUGGCUUGCCAGACAACCCCAUUUAUUUCAAUGAUUGACCUCGGAUCAGGUAGGGAUACCCGCUGAACUUAA